RNAcentral lists this ribosomal RNA (24 nucleotides) under Lodderomyces parapsilosis. Its description in RNAcentral is "Candida parapsilosis partial 28S ribosomal RNA". Lineage: Eukaryota; Fungi; Ascomycota; Pichiomycetes; Serinales; Debaryomycetaceae. The record is from RNAcentral.
AUUCGACCUCAAAUCAGGUAGGAC